This is a long non-coding RNA of Pipistrellus kuhlii (Kuhl's pipistrelle), 1330 nucleotides long. RefSeq lists it as uncharacterized. The record is from RefSeq and is a predicted model, not a curated record. NCBI's taxonomy places the organism in Eukaryota, Metazoa, Chordata, Mammalia, Chiroptera, Vespertilionidae. The transcript is spliced from 2 exons.
UGAAGAAGUGGCAUUAGAAGUUGUUUAAAAAUUUUGGCUCUCAGAAGAAAUUUCAUUUGUGGUACUGUUGAUAUUUGGCUCUGUUGACCACUGAUCUAGACCUGAGGUUCAGUCUGCUGUGUUUGAAAUAAAGAGUAUUUCCCUCAGUAUUUCCCAUCUUUUGGCUCCUUGCUGUCUCCCUCAAGGCCACUGUAGAGUUGGCAAGGGCCUGCGACUUCGCUGGGUUUCCCUGGAGGUCACCAGGUGAGGCCUUCUAUUCCCCCCGUCCUUUCCCCUUCUGCAUAUCACCCAACUAGAAUGUCUCAUGUCGCAGGGAUUUCUGCAAUGUGGCUUUGCUCCUUGGAAUCUUAGGUUGGUUGAAGAUGAUUUGCGAAGCCUCAGAAUGGUAGUUUGCUUUUGUCCUUUUGUGUCCAUUUCCUUCCAGCAGGUUACCACUUGCAUUAAGAACUAUUUUCAUUUUUAUUCAGCGGAGAACAGGGCCACCCUCCCUUUGAAAAGGACUCGGUGGAGGAAUUAGCAGGUGACUGCCAAACCUGUGAAAGAAUGGGGACCAUAAACUCGAUUGGUGAUUUCCCUCACACGAUUUAUUUAGGAUCGUAGAAUUUUAGAGUUAGAUGAGAUUUUAGUUCAAUCUCAUUUUACUGAUGAGGUUAGAUGGUUCAUUUCUGAUAAAAGCUAAUUAAUAAUGGUAAAGUUUCUGACUCUGCCACUUACUAUUUCUGCAGUGUCUUAAAUGAAUGUGCUGUAUGUUUCUUCAAAAAUUGAGUUCUCUUUGAUGUCUUCAGAAAGAUACUUGAUACCACCACAAAGCAUUAUUUCAGCACUGGUAGGAGCACAGCACUGGCAGGAGCACAGCCAGCAGCCUUAUAAACCAGGUUUUUGUUAAACGGACAUUGCCGUCAUUAUCUUAGGUUUGCUUCAUGCUCAUUUUGUUCCUAGUUCUUAUUGAGAAUCAAUCACAUCAUUCUUUAAAGGACAAAUAACCCUUGCUAAAUACCUUGAGAUUUUUUUUCUUUAAUAAAAAAAAGCAUCCCAAAACGAAAAAGCUUAUUUUAUCAUCUUUUGCAACUUAUAAAAACUGCUUUUUCAUAGCAUUCUAAUAUUUGUGUCCCUGAAUGGUUUACAAAAAGAAAAUAAACAAUUUGUGAUCUGGCCAGUUGUACGGUAAAACCACAGAAAACUGAGGGAGCAGUCGUUGCCAGUAAUGUUCGUGUGUGUGCCAUUAAACCACCUCCAGGAGUGGGGGAGCAUUCACUUCUUAAUUUUGAAAUUGUAUUUGGAAUGUUGCUGUGUACUAAGAACCUGACCUAAAUAAAAUUCCACAAAGUAA